UCUUGAAUUCCUGACCUCAAGUGAUCCACUCACCUCGGCAUCCCAAAGUGCUGGGAUUACAGGCGUGAGCCACUGCGCCGGGCUCCAGCAUUUAUUUUUGAUGUAUCUUUAUGGUAGAAAAUUUGGAAAGUGCAGAGAAGUAUACACAGGAAGAAAAAUUCCCAACCCCCAGAGGCAAACCAGCUGAAACCACGCAACCCCAGUCACCCCAAUGCACCGUGAGGCUGCUGCCUCCUGUCAGGGUCAGAUGACCCUCGAGGCUCAGGAAAGUCAGAGGAUGCCAUCUGCAUGGUGGUGAAUUACAGAGGUGAUGAGGCAAGGCGGGUGUGGGGCUGUUCUUAAAAUGGGGCAGCAGGACGGCCCCAAGGAGAUGGAUUUGGGCUGGGACGGGAAGAGAGAGCGGGCCCUGCUGGGGUGGGUGGUUGUUCAAAUGGUGGAAACAGCAGACGCAAAGGCCCUGCCGUUGGGACCAGCUUGUGGAAUAAACUUUCAGAAACAGAUCAAAGAAGGUAGGUGGCUGGAAGGGGCAGCAACGAUGAGGCUGGAGAGGGAGGCGGGGCUAGGCUGGUGCUCGGGCGACUUGCUGGGUGGCCCUAGGAGCACAGUGAGGCCAGUGUGGCUGGAGGGGAGUGGGGAAGAAGAGGGGACGGGGCAGGUUCACAGGAAGGAGGGCCCAAGACCAACCUCGGGGACCAGGAGAGCCCUGUCUCCUCUCACUUCGCAUUUUCCAUUCUGUCUCUGGCCACCUCACUACCUACAGUGGCAGGAAAAGGAAUCUCAGACCCAAAAUAGCCUUCACACUGUGGCGGGGGACUGCUAGCGAUGGACACGCGUUAGGUUUCAUCCUCAUUUCUGUCCCUGUCUGAGGCUGAAAGGCACAGGAUUUGAACACAGGCCUGCCUGAGCCCACAAGAGGCUGCCUCCGGGACCUGGGAAAAGGGGAUCAAUUGGACCUGAUUCCCACCCUCUCCAGAACUGAGCUGCUGUGUGAGGCCGGGGCCGGACUUAUCUUUCUGAAGCACAGAGAAGCGGUUAUACGGGGAAGUUUGGGAGAACUGGGUAAGGCCGCACAUAUGGAAAUUGCCAGUUUCGUGGGUCACAACGUCAAUACACUUAGACCAGCUCAAAGCGCAGUUGGGGACAGUGAUGAAGUGCAGAGCGUCCCCAGCCAACAACAAGACUGCCAAGCAACCGGCAGCGCGGGUAACGGAGAAAACAAGGAAAAAAACGCACUUACCACCCACCAACAAGAAACAGAAACACAGCCACCCCCCUGUCAGUCUACUUUUUAGGUGUGAAUGGGGUC
Molecule: long non-coding RNA, 1306 nt
Filed under: Pan troglodytes (chimpanzee)
Lineage: Eukaryota; Metazoa; Chordata; Mammalia; Primates; Hominidae
Description: long non-coding RNA NONPTRT009809
Source: RNAcentral